This 508-nucleotide ribosomal RNA is filed under the name uncultured bacterium. Its description in RNAcentral is "partial 16S ribosomal RNA". It matches the Rfam family "Bacterial small subunit ribosomal RNA", at positions 29 to 523 of the family's 1533-position model. The record is from RNAcentral.
AUUGAACGCUGGCGGCAUGCCUUACACAUGCAAGUCGAACGGCAGCGGGGGAGAAGCUUGCUUUUCCUGCCGGCGAGUGGCGAACGGGUGAGUAAUACAUCGGAACGUGCCCUGUAGUGGGGGAUAACUAGUCGAAAGAUUAGCUAAUACCGCAUACGACCUGAGGGUGAAAGUGGGGGACCGUAAGGCCCCACGCUACAGGAGCGGCCGAUGUCUGGAUAGCUAGUUGGUGGGGUAAAGGCAUACCAAGGCGACGAUCAGGAGCUGGUCUGAGAGGACGAUCAGCCACACUGGGACUGAAACACGGCCCAGACUCCUACGGGAGGCAGCAGUGGGGAAUUUUGGACAAUGGGCGAAAGCCUGAUCCAGCAAUGCCGCGUGUGUGAAGAAGGCCUUCGGGUUGUAAAGCACUUUUGUCCGGAAAGAAAUGGCUCUGGUUAAUACCUGGGGUCGAUGACGGUACCGGAAGAAUAAGGACCGGCUAACUACGUGCCAGCCGCCGCGGUAA